AUGGACCUCUGUUCCUGGUGUUUGCAUGAGUGCCGGUGUGAUUUUAAGUACUACAGCAAGUUCGUAUACGUGGAGGUUGGAUUUACCAAUGGCGGGAAGAUACUGGCCUUAGACCUUGAAAUUUAUAACAAUGGCGGCAACUCACUAGAUCUGUCCCUUGCAGUCUUGGAGCAUGCUAUGUUUGAGUCGGAAAAUGUCUAUGAUAUACCAAAUAUAAGAGUCAGUGGGAAAGUAUGCUUUACAAAUUUCCCAAGCAAUACUGCCUUUAGAGGUUUUGGUGGUCCAGAAGGUAUGUUGAUCGCAGAGAAUUGGAUUCAUCACAUGGCUAUGGAACUCAAGCGGACUCCAGAGGAGAUAAAAGAACUUAAUUUCCAUAGUGAUAGAGCUAUGCUUUAUUAUGGCCAGUUGGUGCAGAACUGUACAAUACAUUCGGUUUGGGAUGAACUAAAGGCAUCUUCUAAUUUUGUGGAGGCUCGCGAAGCUGUAAAUGUCUUUAACAGCAAUAAUCGUUGGAGGAAGCGAGGAAUUGCUAUGGUUCCCACAAAAUUUGGCAUAUCAUUCACUACAAAAUUUAUGAACCAGGCUGGUGCUCUUGUGCAAGUUUACACUGAUGGUACUAUCCUGAUAAUGCAUGGUGGGGUUGAGAUGGGGCAGGGUUUACACACAAAGAUAGCGCAAGUUGCUGCCUCGUCACUAGAUAUCCCUCUAAGUUGUGUAUUUAUCUCAGAGACAAGUACAGACAAGCAAAUAAUGGCUCGGAUGGAACCCAUUGCUAGUAGGGGCAACUACAAGUCUUUUGCUGAGUUAGCUGAAGCAUGCUACAUGGAACGAGUAGAUCUUUCUGCUCAUGGGUUUUAUAUCACCCCCGAUAUUGGGUUUGACUGGGUUGCUGGCAAGGGAACUCCAUUUAACUAUUUCACCUAUGGAGCUGCAUUUGCAGAAGUUGAGAUUGACACCUUAACUGGGGAUUUCCACACAAGGAGAGCUGAUAUUGUCAUGGAUCUAGGCUAUUCAAUUGAUCCAGCAAUUGAUAUUGGCCAGAUUGAAGGAGCUUUCAUCCAAGGUUUGGGUUGGGCUGCCAUGGAAGAGCUAAAAUGGGGGGAUGACAACCACAAGUGGAUCCGACCUGGACACCUUUUCACUCAUGGACCCGGCUCUUACAAAAUACCCUCUGUAAAUGAUAUACCUCUCAAUUUCAAGGAUUCAUUGUUGAAGGAAAAAAGUCAGCUGCACGAUCUUCUCGCCCGCCCGACGAUCACACACAUCGAUCACGCCCAGUUUCCAACUAUGCGAUCGCCGCCGACUGAACCCCAUCCGACGCCACAUCUGAACGUCGCCGCGGAUCCGUCCCGCGUCGACCUACGCCAGCGACGUCUACACCGCGGCCCUCGUUUCCAGGUCGCGGCCGUCUUCCAUCUAACCCUCGUCUUGCACGUCGCCGUCGGACGGCUUUUUGGUCAGUUAGAUGAUGAGAGCAGCGACAACGAUUCCGUGUCGUCAUUUGAUAUCUUGCCUCCGGAGGAUUUUGAUCAUAAUGAACAUGGCGCAAAUAGUGAAAACUUAAGUGCCAUAUAUUUUGAUCUCAUCUUUGAACCUGCAAUGUAUGGCAUGGCUAACUAUCUCUCUAUGUAUACAAAUUUGCAGGAAGAUGUGGAUGUUGACAAUGUGGAAAAUAGUUUACAGGAAUCAUUCGCGGAUAACUUGAGCCAGGAGGAGUCAGAUGGUAUUAGCGGUGAUCACGAUGAGGGGGAGAUCGACAUUGAGGAGGCUCGAAGGCAGCAGCAAAUUCCGACCAUCGUUGUCCAAAAGUUGCCCGACCGGCAGCUGGACCGCAAGUUGGGAUAUAUUCCCAACCCAAAUCAAGCCAACGAGGCGACUCGGGAGGUCCAUAUAAAGCCCAUCAAGGGCCCAGCAGCCGGGUCCAACGGGGCGGCGAUUUCAAGCAGUACUAGCAGAGGAGUUCGACCUAUGUAG
RNAcentral lists this ribosomal RNA (1974 nucleotides) under Triticum aestivum (bread wheat). Its description in RNAcentral is "partial small subunit ribosomal RNA". Lineage: Eukaryota; Viridiplantae; Streptophyta; Magnoliopsida; Poales; Poaceae. The record is from RNAcentral.